CCCACUGCUAAGAUUUAUUCAGCACCAUGAACUGGUAGAAAUGAAGUAAACCUAUCAGAAGAGUGACAGGUGUAGAGUCUCUUGUGCCCAGGGGCUCCCAUUCAAUGUGAAUUGUAUUUUAUAAUAUACCAAGAGCCCCCAAACACAGAAGUGACCUGGACCUCUCUCAGCAUCUGUAGAGGAAGCAUUUUAGAAAAGCGGAAAAUAAAAGGGCCUGAUGCAGAAGUGCUUCUCCUUCCCCUUGCCCCUGGACCUGAGCCGGAGCUGUCUAUCUACAUGAGGACACCAUCUGGCAACACUGAAAUGUUGCCCUCACUGUAUGCCAUCACCAGGAAGACAAGCAAUAGAUGAUGAGUGAAAAUAAAAUGUUUAGUUGGAAACUAUUUGGGAAUGGCUUUAUGUCCACAUAUGGACACAGCCUGGCUGGAACUGGGGAGAUCUUCCCUUUCUGGUGUCUUUUCAAGGUCUUGAGAUGAGCUCUAACAAAUAUCUCAGGCCAUCUGGCCUAGUUUUUCAUAAUUGUGACUCCUAAAUGUAAACACGGUCCGAGAGAAUAUCGGGAACAAAAAAAAGGCUAAUGAAAUUCUUCUAAUUUAACGGAGUUGUUCUGAGUCUCAUUCAGUUACUUAAACAUUUUUUUCUUUCCUUCUCGCAGUCAUCAAUCCUGGAAAAUCU
Molecule: long non-coding RNA, 675 nt
Filed under: Homo sapiens (human)
Lineage: Eukaryota; Metazoa; Chordata; Mammalia; Primates; Hominidae
Description: HSALNT0219911
Source: RNAcentral